This 497-nucleotide ribosomal RNA is filed under the name uncultured bacterium. RNAcentral's name for it is "partial 16S ribosomal RNA". It matches the Rfam family "Bacterial small subunit ribosomal RNA", at positions 28 to 507 of the family's 1533-position model. The record is from RNAcentral.
GACGAACGCUGGCGGCGUGCCUAAUACAUGCAAGUUGAGCGCUGAAGGUUGGUACUUGUACCAACUGGAUGAGCAGCGCACGGGUGAGUAACGCGUGGGGAAUCUGCCUUUGAGCGGGGGACAACAUUUGGAAACGAAUGCUAAUACCGCAUAAAAACUUUAAACACAAGUUUUAAGUUUGAAAGAUGCAAUUGCAUCACUCAAAGAUGAUCCCGCGUUGUAUUAGCUAGUUGGUGAGGUAAAGGCUCACCAAGGCGAUGAUACAUAGCCGACCUGAGAGGGUGAUCGGCCACAUUGGGACUGAGACACGGCCCAAACUCCUACGGGAGGCAGCAGUAGGGAAUCUUCGGCAAUAGACGAAAGUCUGACCGAGCAACGCCGCGUGAGUGAAGAAGGUUGUCGGAUCGUAAAACUCUGUUGGUAGAGAAGAACGUUGGUGAGAGUGGAAAGCUCAUCAAGUGACGGUAACUACCCAGAAAGGGACGGCUAACUACGUG